RNAcentral lists this ribosomal RNA (3878 nucleotides) under Triticum aestivum (bread wheat). RNAcentral's name for it is "partial small subunit ribosomal RNA". Lineage: Eukaryota; Viridiplantae; Streptophyta; Magnoliopsida; Poales; Poaceae. The record is from RNAcentral.
UUGGAUUUAAGGGGUAGGCUUCGCGUCUCGGUGGGGUGGAGCGGGGCCGCGGGCGGGCGGGCGGACGGAGGGGCUGGGGCUAGCUAGGUAGCUUCGGCUUCUUCGAGGGGGAGGGGAGACUGUUGUGGCGCGCUUUUGUAUUGUGUCGGGGGGAGAGGUCAGCAUUUCCGUCGGGGGCGUUUCCGAAGCUCGCCCGCAACGGCGCGAGGCUAAACUUGGCCCUUCGCCCCCUGCUUCCGGGGGCGGAGUGGCGGUGCGGAGGCGGCGCGGCGCGCCCGGCCUCCGCCUUUGGGAUCGCUACCGCCGCAGGCACCUGCGCCGGCGCCGGCACCGGCGCGGACGAGGGGGCGGCGGGCAGCGGCGCGGGCUCCUCCGGCCGCCCCCGCUGCGCCUCGUCCGGUCCUAGGAGUAGCCCCGCGAGUUGGAAGACAGCGCGUUGGAGGGCGAAGGUGGGCGGCAGGACGCGCGCCAGAGCAGGUAGAUGGUGCCGCCGCUUCUGCGCCUGGUCCUCCUCCUCCUUCCCCGGCUCCCGGGCAGCGACCAGCCCCUACUUCCGCCUCUCCCCCUAGGGCGACUGCGGCAGCUACGCCGGCUCCUUCGGUGGAACUAAGUUCUCGAACUUCUAAGAUAUAUAUCUUUGGUUUGCUGUGUGUACAGCAGGAGUUUCAACUGACGAGAUUUUCUACUUGCGAAGUUAUGGACGUAGGUCGUAGCCAAUAGACUUGAGCUUCCCAAUGGUAGAUGAACCCCACUUCUAAACGUUUACUUCACAAAUGAGCUUAAUAUACCCGAGUUCAAUGAUCUGAACGUCUUCUUUCAUGCCAGACUACAGUUACGACUUAUGACCGAUGUGUUUUUUACACACGUAGGACUCUCCGUUAAUAAACUGACCCCCUACUACUCCUAUGCUAUAGGAAAAUGGUACAUACCUUAUCCCCUACCCAAAAGUUACCUAUGGCUACUAUAGGUAGCGUUUUUCUCUAAGUGGCUCUCCUAGAGUUUCGAACUUCUCCUCCUUUUUUUAGUCCGACUCUGGUCCUUCUCUUCUAAAAAAUGUCUUUAAGAAUUACGACGAUCCCUUAUAGUUCACGUUUGUAGCCGAUGAAUGUUUGCUUCUUUCGUUGCAUUACUACCUCAAGUCCGUACCGUACAGGCCCGCGCGGUCGCAUAGUUAGCUGAACUUUUUUCAUCCAACGUUCAAAACUUUCGUCCACUAGUUCUUCGCAUAUACGCCUACCAACUCCUCUCGUUCUUACUUGCCGAAUGCUACGAGGAACUAUUCUGUUUACUCGAAGAUCUUCCUUAACCCUUUCGACAUGUCGCUGUUUUUCUACGACUCGUACAAUCAGCAGGACUUCCCAGACUUCUGAGUCUUAGACUACUUAGGGGACUCCUCAGAGGAAGUCUACUACUACGUCUAUGUGUGCCAAGACGUUUAUGAUCAUUUAAAUUACGACGACCGGCAUCCGAACUAAGAUGACAGGUAAGGUAGCUUCUCUUCCAUUGUCUUGUUGGCAGUCGGGAACAUCCACCCCUCAACUCUGGUAUAGUCAAUCUCCCAGAGGUUACCUACGAAAGAAAUAAGUUGUUGUUAAACUUACCGUAAGACCGACUACUUUACCCAAACCCCUUUUGUUAAGUCUGGUAUCGAAACUAGCGAAUAGAAAACCUUUUCUUCCUCCAGUGUCCUGGAGUGAAUUAUCAUCGAGGGUUUCGUCAUGAUGGUUUGACCAGAUUACUCAAGUUUUGUACCCGAGGGUCAUAACCAUGUUAAGACAUACUACCAGCAGGUCUACUCUCCUUUAGAGAGUCCCUUUGUUUAAAACCUCCUGUUAAAUUACAAGACGAGUGUGUGAUACUAAACUAUGACUUUCUAUUCUUCAAGGACUUCUUCCAAGUGACCGUGAUAAACUAUCAACUACUUCCUGUAGCGAACUUUUUAGUACUUACACGAGAACGAGCGUGUGAUCAAAGGCCUAUAAACUAGGCGGCGUCUGAUGAAAACUGACCGUGAGGUUAGGUUUUAUCGGAUGUCCUCGACACCAGUAACGAGUUGAAAUAAGACGGUUUAUAAAAAUUAAGUAGACCCUUAAAACUCCUUACCAAAUUACGUGGCAAACGUACACUACAAUCGUAAUUACUACUCCUUCUUGAUAACUAGUAUGUAGCAAACGUAGUUCAAAACGCAGGUAAAAACGAGGCAUCCUUUUUUCUACUUCACCUUUUCAUAGAGGGAAGUUUUUGUGUUCAUUAUGACUUCACACUGAAAAGUCGAACCGUUUUUCGUAUGAUGCUCGUUCAGCGUUCGUUCCCUUUCCAACGGGAUCCUAGACCUGAGUUUGGUUUCCGACACCGUUUGGAUAGCUACGUCGAAUCCUUCACGACGUUAGUAGGAAUGAAUAAACAUCUCGUUAUAUUGUACAUAGUCGCGCUCCUCUAACAAUCUCGUAGUCCCUUCAAACUUAACGAGCUAGCCGAUGAAGGUUUUGACGUAUCCCGACCAGUGUCCCAAGACGAAAAAAGAGUCUACUGUUCUAACGAAUUAUAAAACCUUCAUAUAAACGUCUACAUGUUAAAGUUCAUAUACUCCGAACUACCUAGUUGCUUUUGACUUCUUGCUCCCUUUAAUAACCGUCUAAAAUUAUUCUUCCUGAGUCUCAUGAAGUAAAAAGAAGAGUCGUGUGCUCGACCUCCGGAACCUAACUUGAACGUCUGACGUCUAUGUCAAUAAUAAAAACUAUCACUAACCUUAGGAGUCUACCUAGUCGUUCGACUUCUGGCACGAGUAGCAUAUCCUGUCUUUUUACUUCACGCACAUAAACAAGAACAAUCACAACCUAGUUAACUUCUUCUCUAGAACCUAGCACGUUUUGUCUUCUACCCAUAACUACGUUUUCAAUAGGUCCGACCCAACAAGUUGUUGUGGAGGUGUCGAGUCCUAUCCUUUCGCAACGAUGUCCUCUAGAACUUCUCUCCUUGAUCAUGUGAACCUUGACUGUAGGGAUCACUCGCACUUUAUUUAGCAAACCGACGAGCUUGACUCCUUCUCAAGACCAAUAAACUCUUCUACCUACUUCUCUCCGCUGCUGCUCUUUUGAUAUUUAGGUCCGACUACGUCCCUGGACUCCAAGGUCUUACCCAAAAACUAUAGUCACUUUGGAAUCGACUCUUCGAGGAACGCCUUCUUCGGUUUUUAGGACACUAUUUGUGUUUCUCCGCUUCUUUCCUCCAACAGAUAAGCCUGAGAAUACAACUAGUUACCUACUUUAGACUGCUCCAUAUGCUUCUGUAGGGUUUCUACUGAGGUUCUCGUUUUGCCUCACGAAUAAAUAGGCUAUAUGUCCUCCAACUAAAUGUACUAUCCCGUUUUUCCGAGUUUAUAAGACUGUCGCGGCUACCGCGUCCGUUGAGUUGGACCUGUGGUCUCUUUCCUUCUCGACCUCAAAGAAGGAUGUCGUUCCUACUCUUGCUUCUGCUGUUACUGCUUCUACUUCAGUGGCGGCCACCAAACGUCGUCCCACCAUCGAAGUGGACCUUAUGGGAGUCCUCCUUUUCCAGUUCGGUGAGGUGAUUAGGCAGCAGCCUGGGAUUUCCCGCGAGCCGUAAAAUUACGGGUAGACUAUCCUCACGGUAAAUCUACGUACAGACGAAAGAAGGAACACUCCUUUUCACGAGGCUAUCUCUUUGAUUAUGUCAAAGAAGUCUUCACGUAGAUUCGAGUAGUUGAAAUCCUGAUCACGUCAUAAAAUACUUAACCAACCAUAAUUUGACAUAGAAGUAGUCUUGAGCCUUACAAAGGACUAUACAAGCUACGAAUUUAUCUUUGUUACAAGGAGUACAGUACUCCCAUCUCCAUAGAAUUAAUCAAGAUUUUCUUU